CGCACAUUGCGCCCUUUGGUAUUCCAAAGGGCAUGCCUGUUCGAGCAUCAUUGCAAACCCUCAAGCCUUGCUUGGUUCUGGGCUUCUCGUCGCCUGCGACGUGCCCGAAAAAGAUUGACGGUUUGGUGCAAACCUUUGGGCGUAGUACUUUCUUUCACCCCGAAGGCUUUGCGCUCGACCGGUUGAAAGUCUCUAAAUCCGACUUGAAGAUUGACCUCGAAUCAAGCAGGGAUACCCGCUAAACUUAA
This 248-nucleotide unclassified non-coding RNA is filed under the name Physcia alnophila. RNAcentral describes it as "partial contains 5.8S ribosomal RNA, internal transcribed spacer 2, and large subunit ribosomal RNA". The record is from RNAcentral. Lineage: Eukaryota; Fungi; Ascomycota; Lecanoromycetes; Caliciales; Physciaceae.